RNAcentral lists this ribosomal RNA (443 nucleotides) under uncultured bacterium. RNAcentral's name for it is "partial 16S ribosomal RNA". It matches the Rfam family "Bacterial small subunit ribosomal RNA", at positions 338 to 795 of the family's 1533-position model. The record is from RNAcentral.
CCUACGGGAGACAGCAGUGGGGAAUAUUGGGCAAUGGGCGAAAGCCUGACCCAGCAAUGCCGCGUGAAUGAAGAAGGUCUUAGGAUUGUAAAAUUCUGUCCUAUGGGAAGAAAAAAAUGACGGUACCAUAGGAGGAAGCCCCGGCUAACUACGUGCCAGCAGCCGCGGUAAUACGUAGGGGGCGAGCGUUGUCCGGAAUUACUGGGUGUAAAGGGAGCGUAGACGGCAAUACAAGUCGGAAGUGAAAUACCCGGGCUCAACCUGGGAACUGCUUUGGAAACUGUAUGGCUGGAGUGCUGGAGAGGUAAGCGGAAUUCCUAGUGUAGCGGUGAAAUGCGUAGAUAUUAGGAGGAACACCAGUGGCGAAGGCGGCUUACUGGACAGUAACUGACGUUGAGGCUCGAAAGCGUGGGGAGCAAACAGGAUUAGAUACCCGAGUAGUC